GUGCACGCGUUAUUUUUAUUUAACUCGGUAAGUCAUUGAGAACAACUUAUUUUACUUAACAAAUUACUAAGAGAUACCAAUGUUUCAAUACUUGUCCUAAAAACAUUAAUGCUGUAGGCUGAUUGAAACGAUAGUUAAUGUCCACUGCUUUUAUACAGGAGAGUUGUAGUGCCUGUUAAGUGGUGGUUCUCAGUUCAGUGUUUUGAUUAAUUCUCCUUCCCAACCAGGAAAUCUGGCUGAUGCCAGAAAGAAAGAUGAAGCUCUCCCUCCCUGCAACAAAGCACUUUUUUUUUUCUUUUUCGCAUGCACCAUCUGGUCACGUGAUGCUGAUCUGUUACCCAGCAAGUUCAUUAUCAGGCAGCCAUCUUGGUAUCUAUCAUCGGAGCAGCGACUCACAGCCUACUCUAUCUGAGCUAGCCGAGCGAGAGGAGAGGCAGAGCGUUGUUAUACCAGUACCCAGACCACACCGCGCUGCAGAGACGAACAGGAGAGGGCAGGGCUGCAGCCUUUGUUGAGACAGACGCACGGUGGCUUUUCUCCUUACUCAUCUGUAAAGGGAGGAGAGCGUGAAGGGCGAGGAAUAACAAACCCAGCAUCCAUCCAGCCUCCUCUUUUCACUCUCCCUUUGUUUUCAGCACAUAGACUGGCCUUACUUUGCAUUGCCUGUCUUUCUGGAGAGAGCUGCGUUGUUUCCAUUUGUCUCUCAGCCCUCUAUUCGCUGAGUCAUCAUGGCAGACCUGAUGGCCCAGCCCGACGCCCCGACUCCCACCACCGACAAGAUCACGCAGGCCGCCCGGGAGACCAUCUACCUGUGUAACUUCCGCGUGUCGGUGGACGGAGAAUGGCUCUGUCUCAGGGAGCUGAACGACAUCUCCCUCACCCCAGACCCAGAGCAAGCCCACGAAGAUCCGAAGGACCCUAUAGCCAUCGAGCGGUUGAACCUGAUGAACAUGGCUAAGCUGAGCAUCAAGGGUCUGAUUGAGUCGGCCCUGAACCUGGGCAGGACCCUGGACUCUGACUACGCUCCGUUACAGCAGUUCUUCGUGGUCAUGGAGCACUGCCUCAAACAUGGACUCAAAACCAAGAAGACGUUCCUGGGGCAGAACAAGUCUUUCUGGGGGGCCCUGGAGCUGGUGGAGAAACUCACCCCUGAGGCUGGAGAGAUCACCGCCAGCGUCAAAGACCUGCCAGGACUCAAAACCCCAUUAGGAAGAGGGCGGGCCUGGCUGCGAUUGGCCCUGAUGCAGAAGAAGCUGUCAGAUUACAUGAAGACCAUCAUCAACAGAAAGGACCUGCUCAGUGAGUUCUACGAGUCCAACGCUCUCAUGAUGGAGGAGGAAGGAGCCGUGAUCGCCGGACUGCUGGUUGGGUUGAACGUCAUCGAUGCCAAUCUCUGUAUGAAGGGAGAAGACCUCGACUCACAGGUCGGGGUGAUAGAUUUCUCCAUGUAUCUUAAGGAUGGUCAAAGCAGCAAGACGGCAGAAGGGGAUGGCCAGAUCACAGCCAUCCUGGACCAGAAGAACUAUGUUGAGGAGCUAAACAGACACCUGAGUGCUUCAGUCAACAACCUGCAGGCCAAAGUAGACGCUAUGGAGAAGUCCAACACCAAGCUCACUGAAGAGCUUGCAGUAGCCAACAACAGGAUCAUCACCCUACAAGAGGAUGUAGAACGAGUCAAGGAGGAGUGCUCCAACCAGUCCAGUCGCAAGGCAUCGCGGGCAGGGGACAGCUUGGCAGACGGUCAGGUGCUGGGGGAGGCACGCAAACAGCUCAAGGAGGAAACACAGCUACGAUUGGAUGUAGAGAAGGAGUUGGAGGUUCAGAUUGGUAUGAAGCAGGAGAUGGAGCUGUCUAUGAAGAUGUUAGAGACGGAUAUGUGUGAGAAACAGGAUGCUCUGGUUGAGCUACGACAACAGCUAGAAGACCUCAGGUCCCUCAACCAGCAGCUAGCGCAGAAGUCCCAGAACUUGGAGGCGGGCGCCAAGCAGAAGAGUGAGGUCAUCAGUCGCUUGGAGGAGAAGACGAAUCAGAUGGCUGGAACUAUAAAACAGCUGGAGAGCAGAGGCCAUAUCACCGUAAAUGCUGAAUGGAGAUGUCGGAUUGACCAAUGCAGCGCCUUUAACAGUUCAAAUACCCCUGCUCUAUGCAGUCAAAAUGCAUCCCCCUUUCACUUAACAAAUCCAAUGUUAUUUGUCACAUACACGUGUUUUAGCAAUAAUUAGAAUAUAUGAAUAUUUGGACAAACAAUGUCUUAGCAGCAUAGACUAAGAAUAGAAUAGAAUACAGUUUUACAUAUGAGAUGAGUAAUGCAAGAUAUGUAAACAUUAUUAAAGUGACCAUUAUUAAAGUGACUAGUGUUCCAUUAUUAAAGUGGCCAGUGAUUACAAGUCUAUGUAUAUAGGGCAGCAGCCUCUAAUAUGCUAGUGAUGGCUAACAGUCUGAUGGCCUUGAUAGAAGCAGUCUCUCGGUCCCUGCUUUGAUGCACCUGUAUGUGUAGUCUUUAUCUGAGUCCCAGAAACCGGCCCAGAGUGAAUUAGGCUUUCUGGCUGUGUUCUGUUUUAGAUCCCACUGAAACAAAGCUCUUGACAGCCUCAGACCAGUGUGUUUAUCAGGUCUAGUCUGUCUAAUUAACCUCACUAAUGUGUUUAUCAGGUCUAGUCUGUCUAAUUAACCUCACUAAUGUGUUUAUCAGGUCUAGUCUGUCUAAUUAACCUCACUAAUGUGUUUAUCAGGUCUAGUCUGUCUAAUUAACCUCACUAAUGUGUUUAUCAGGUCUAGUCUGUCUAAUUAACCUCACUAAUGUGUUUAUCAGGUCUAGUCUGUCUAAUAAACCUCAGUCCAGUGUGUUUAUCAGGUCUAGUCUGUCUAAUUAACCUCACUAAUGUGUUUAUCAGGUCUAGUCUGUCUAAUAAACCUCACUAAUGUGUUUAUCAGGUCUAGUCUGUCUAAUUAACCUCACUAAUGUGUUUAUCAGGUCUAGUCUGUCUAAUAAACCUCACCAAUGUGUUUAUCAGGUCUAGUCUGUCUAAUUAACCUCACUAAUGUGUUUAUCAGGUUUAGUCUGUCUAAUUAACCUCACUAAUGUGUUUAUCAGGUCUAGUCUGUCUAAUUAACAUCACUAAUGUGUUUAUCAGGUCUAGUCUGUCUAAUUAACCUCAACAGUGUGUUUAUCAGGUCUAGUCUGUCUAAUAAACCUCACCAGUGUGUUUAUCAGGUCUAGUCUGUCUAAUUAACCUCACUAAUGUGUUUAUCAGGUCUAGUCUGUCUAAUUAACCUCACUAAUGUGUUUAUCAGGUCUAGUCUGUCUAAUAAACCUCAGUCCAGUGUGUUUAUCAGGUCUAGUCUGUCUAAUUAACCUCACUAAUGUGUUUAUCAGGUCUAGUCUGUCUAAUAAACCUCACUAAUGUGUUUAUCAGGUCUAGUCUGUCUAAUUAACCUCACUAAUGUGUUUAUCAGGUCUAGUCUGUCUAAUUAACCUCAGUCCAGUGUGUUUAUCAGGUCUAGUCUGUCUAAUUAACCUCACUAAUGUGUUUCACUGUCUAAUCAGGUUCUCUUCACAGGGAGUUACAGCCAGAUACUUUCCCUGCAAUAACUACUGUCUUCCUCUUCUUCUUUCUUCUCUCCAUUUCUUUCAUUUCUUGGUUCUCUUCUUCUCAGUGAGAAAGACUGUGUGAAGCAGGCCAGAAGCUUGAGUUCCAAUGCAGGGAAACUGCUUCAGAAGCAACUAUAGGACUCUCCUCUCUUCCCUUUCUCUUCCCACGAUGACACCCACAUCAUAGUUUCAGAAAUCUGAUUCCCAAUCGAAACAUAAAACCAACCUUUGCAUAAUAUAGAAGUGAAUAAGCUUGGGUAUUUAUUUUGAUAUGAUAUCUGUUGCGGUUAAACCUUUUCAUUUCUAACUGUUAAACAAUCUUUUGUUUCCUAAAACUAAACUCUCCUAAAACUAAACAGGUUUCCUGACAGCAUUACUUUGAUUAGCAGCAUGGACUGGAGACAGGCUAGAGGGGGCCAGAGAGAGACUGUCUUUCUGUUGUACUGAGACAGGCUAGAGGGGGCCAGAGAGAGACUGUCUUUCUGUUGUACUGAGACAGGCUAGAGGGGGCCAGAGAGAGACUGUCUUUCUGUUGUACUGAGACAGGCUAGAGGGGGCCAGAGAGAGACUGUCUUUCUGUUGUACUGAGACAGGCUAGAGGGGGCCAGAGAGAGACUAUCUUUCUGUUGUACUGACACAGGCUAGAGGGGGCCAGAGAGAGACUGUCUUUCUGUUGUACUGAGACAGGCUAGAGGGGGCCAGAGAGAGACUGUCUUUCUGUUGUACUGAGACAGGCUAGAGGGGGCCAGAGAGAGACUGUCUUUCUGUUGUACUGAGACAGGCUAGAGGGGGCCAGAGAGAGACUGUCUUUCUGUUGUACUGAGACAGGCUAGAGGGGGCCAGAGAGAGACUGUCUUUCUGUUGUACUGAGACAGGCUAGAGGGGGCCAGAGAGAGACUGUCUUUCUGUUGUACUGAGACAGGCUAGAGGGGGCCAGAGAGAGACUGUCUUUCUGUUGUACUGAGACAGGCUAGAGGGGGCCAGAGAGAGACUGUCUUUCUGUUGUACUGAGACAGGCUAGAGGGGGCCAGAGAGAGACUAUAUUUCUGUUGUACUGAGACAGGCUAGAGGGGGCCAGAGAGAGACUGUCUUUCUGUUGUACUGAGACAGGCUAGAGGGGGCGAGAGAGAGACUAUAUUUCUGUUGUACUGAGACAGGCUAGAGGGGGCCAGAGAGAGACUGUCUUUCUGUUGUACUGAGACAGGCUAGAGGGGGCCAGAGAGAGACUAUAUUUCUGUUGUACUGAGACAGGCUAGAGGACUGUUGGACUGGCAGUGCAGGGUGACUCCACUCACAGUACUACAUCUUUCUGUGUUAAUAAAGAUAUCAGACCCACAGCUGUAAUACAUGUUCCCUGAUAAGAAAGAGGUUUGGGAUGUCUGCCAUUUUAGUAAGAGAGAGGUUACUGUUCUGAAAACUCUAAAUAUUUGCUAAUUCUUGAACAUCAACACACCCAGACGCCCCCUACAGUGGCAUACCGUAGGUCCUUAGACCAGCCCAAUGCUACGUACAGCUUGUCCUUAGACCAUACAGACAUACGUGCUUAACCAGCCACUGAGCAGCCCUCUUUCUCACCCCAUGGUUAAUAAAGGUCUGGCCUCCUGCACCGUUAAGUGAUAAUGCCUGAGAAGCCCGUGUGUGGAGGACAUAUUGGCACGGGUGUUGUUAGGCCCGAGACGAAGUUGAGGCAAACCGGGCUUCUCAGGCAUUAUCACUUUUAUACAACAGGUUACCAACCUAUUCAAAUAACGAUUGACAUUUUCAUUAGCUUUAUUUUGAUAAAUGUAUUCAUACCGUUUCGUCUUUACACAAAUCUAGGGUUACUAUCCAAGCUGGCUGGUCGUUGGUUCUAUCAGUUCGGUUACCAGAGACGCGAACCAGUCCUUCAGUCGUUCUGUAUCUAUGGAUGCAACACAGUCGUUCGUUCUCAAUGUUCUAUUGACUGGCUUGGCAACGUUCUUGUCCUUUGCUUGCUAGCUAGCCAACUACGGCUAACUUAGUCACAUCAGAGUGCAGCCAGAUAACAGCAAAGUAGCUAGUAGUAGUAGUAGUUAGUAGUAGUUAGUAGUAGUAGUAGUUAGUAGUAGUAGUAGUAGUAGUAGUAGCUAGUAGUAGUAGCUAGUAGUAGUAGUAGUAGUAGUUAGUAGUAGUAGUAGUUAGUAGUAGUAGUAGUAGUAGUGUUAGUAGUAGUUAGUAGUAGUAGUAGUAGUAGUAGUAGUAGUAGUAGUAGUAGUAGUAGUAGUUAGUAGUAGUAGUAGUUAGUAGUAGUAGUAGUAGUAGUAGUAGUAGUUAGUAGUAGUAGUAGUAGUUUUCUAGUGACCGUUAUUUGAAUACAUUCAUAAGAAUUGGCAAAAGAAGCGCGAUUUCGCCUGGCAAGGAAAAUGUGCUCACUCAUCAGGACACUGUUGUUCAGAGGAGCUAGCCAAAAACACAGCGAACAUAAUCACUUCAAAAUGUAGCUGGAAAGACUGCGAACUAGCUGCACUUCGUUUGACCCGUUUUAUAUUCACAUUUGUUUGUAUAUAUCCAUAAGAAUCAUGCGGAUUCAUGACUUGGACUCCCUACACUUUCAUUACAAUGGGUCAGCUGGAGAUGGAAUUUCAAUAUUGAAACAAUGUUGCAAAUGUCAGAGAGACAGACAGCAAGGUCAGAGAGACAGACAGCAAGGUCAGAGAGACAGACAGCAAGGUCAGAGAGACAGACAGCAAGGUCAGAGAGACAGACAGCAAGGUUUAUUAAAUCUCCGCUGUUGAAAACCAAUUGCUAGUUUAAAAGAAGUGGGAGAUAAUGUCUUGAUGCUUUUUACAGUGGAGAUCGGGUUUAUAAAUUGCCUGGUUGGGCUGAUGAGACAGUGGAUUGGUGCAGUCAGAUGGAACAGAGUAAAUAAGCAUUUUAACGUCAUAGAUUUAACCGGUGGUAACUUGUGGAAUAGACACCGCCUGGAAUGUGGUUUUAACCAAUCAGCAUUUGGCCCAACCCUAAUGUCAUGGUACGGUAUAAAGUACCGUAGCAUAACAUCUGGACCAUACAGCACACACAGUUUGUAGCUGUGCUUCCUUCGCUAGUCUGACUCCAUACAGCUUUCUGUGGAACCAUGCUGUUGGCCACUCACUGCUGUAUGGAUCAGUGGCCUGGUCCCAGAUCAGUCUGUGCUGUAUGGAGCAGUAGCCUGGUCCCAGAUUAGUCUGUGCUGUAUGGAGCAGUAGCCUGGUCCCAGAUUAGUCUGUGCUGUAUGGAGCAGUAGCCUGGUCCCAGAUCAGUCUGUGCUGUAUGGAGCAGUGGCCUGGUCCCAGAUCAGUCUGUGCUGUAUGGAGCAGUAGCCUGGUCCCAGAUUAGUCUGUGCUGUAUGGAGCAGUAGCCUGGUCCCAGAUCAGUCUGUGCUAUAUGGAGCAGUGGCCUGGUCCCAGAUCAGUCUGUGCUGUAUGGAGCAGUAGCCUGGUCCCAGAUUAGUCUGUGCUGUAUGGAGCAGUAGCCUGGUCCCAGAUCAGUCUGUGCUGUAUGGAGCAGUGGCCUGGUCCCAGAUCAGUCUGUGCUGUAUGGAGCAGUAGCCUGGUCCCAGAUUAGUCUGUGCUGUAUGGAGC
Oncorhynchus keta (chum salmon) is the source of this 7173-nucleotide RNA transcript. It is a transcript of the gene named protein RUFY3, with no coding region annotated. The record is from RefSeq and is a predicted model, not a curated record. Lineage: Eukaryota; Metazoa; Chordata; Actinopteri; Salmoniformes; Salmonidae. The transcript is spliced from 15 exons.